Molecule: ribosomal RNA, 322 nt
Filed under: uncultured eukaryote
Lineage: Eukaryota
Description: partial 18S ribosomal RNA
Rfam family: Eukaryotic small subunit ribosomal RNA
Source: RNAcentral
CCCUUAGAUGUUCUGGGCCGCACGCGUGCUACACUGAGUGGAUCAGCGGGUCAGGUUGCGCGAAAGUGUUUCCUAAUCUUUAAAUCCGCUCGUGAUGGGGAUUGACGGUUGCAAUUUUCCGUCAUGAACGAGGAAUACCUUGUAAGCGCGGGUCAUCAUCCCGCGCUGAAUACGUCCCUGCCCUUUGUACACACCGCCCGUCGCUCCUACCAAUUGAGUGGUCCGGUGAGGCUUUGGGAUCUGAGCGGAAAGAGCGUUUCGCUGUUUCUGCCCGGAAAACUCAGUCGAACCUUAUCAUUUAGAGGAAGGAGAAGUCGUAACA